Molecule: ribosomal RNA, 403 nt
Filed under: uncultured bacterium
Lineage: Bacteria
Description: partial 16S ribosomal RNA
Rfam family: Bacterial small subunit ribosomal RNA
Source: RNAcentral
GACGAACGCUGGCGGCGUGCUUAAUACAUGCAAGUCGAACGCAGUGGGGACGGGUGAGUAACACGUGGGUAAAAUCCCAUCAGAGGGGAUAACACUUGGAAACAGGUGCUAAACCGAUACUGAUGGAUGGACACGCGGUGCAUUAGCUAGUUGGUGAGGUAACGGCGUACCAAGGGAACGAUGCAUAGCCGACCUGAUAGGGUGAUCCGCCACACUGGAACUAAGACACGGUCCAACCUCCUACGGGAAACAGCAGUAGACAAUAUUCCGCAAAUGACGUAAGCCAGACGCAGCAACGCCUCGGGAGUGUUGAAGGUCUUCGGAUCGUAAGACACUGUUAUUAGGGAAACCGUACCUGCUCAGUAAGCCACGGCUAACUCCGUGCCAGCAGCCGCGGUAAUAC